GGAGAGAUGUCCGAGCUGGUCGAAGGAGCACGAUUGGAAAUCGUGUGAGGGGCCAAAAGCUUCCUCCGAGGGUUCGAAUCCCUCUCUCUCCGCCA
This 95-nucleotide transfer RNA is filed under the name Candidatus Zhuqueibacterota bacterium. RNAcentral describes it as "candidate division KSB1 bacterium (microbial mat metagenome) tRNA-Ser". It matches the Rfam family "tRNA". Rfam says of the family: Transfer RNA (tRNA) molecules are approximately 80 nucleotides in length. The record is from RNAcentral. Lineage: Bacteria; Pseudomonadati.